CGGGAUAGCUCAGUUGGUAGAGCAGAGGACUGAAAAUCCUCGUGC
This 45-nucleotide transfer RNA is filed under the name Ageratum conyzoides. RNAcentral's name for it is "partial tRNA-Phe". Lineage: Eukaryota; Viridiplantae; Streptophyta; Magnoliopsida; Asterales; Asteraceae. The record is from RNAcentral.